UUUUAUAGUUUCAGUCCUGCUCUUGAAAUACAUUUCCAGCUGGGUACCAGGAAACAAAAAUGUCUGUGAGGAAGGAUGUUUUUGCUGCUUUU
This is a long non-coding RNA of Gopherus evgoodei (Goodes thornscrub tortoise), 92 nucleotides long. RefSeq lists it as uncharacterized. The transcript is spliced from 4 exons. The record is from RefSeq and is a predicted model, not a curated record. NCBI's taxonomy places the organism in Eukaryota, Metazoa, Chordata, Testudines, Testudinidae.